UGUAGCUCAGUGGUAGAGUACUUGCCUAGCAGGUAUGAGGCCCUGGGUUUGAUCCCCAGUA
This 61-nucleotide transfer RNA is filed under the name Urocitellus parryii (Arctic ground squirrel). Its description in RNAcentral is "Spermophilus parryii (Arctic ground squirrel) tRNA". It matches the Rfam family "tRNA", at positions 6 to 65 of the family's 71-position model. From Rfam's summary of the family: Transfer RNA (tRNA) molecules are approximately 80 nucleotides in length. Their secondary structure includes four short double-helical elements and three loops (D, anti-codon, and T loops). Further hydrogen bonds mediate the characteristic L-shaped molecular structure. tRNAs have two regions of fundamental functional importance: the anti-codon, which is responsible for specific mRNA codon recognition, and the 3' end, to which the tRNAs corresponding amino acid is attached (by aminoacyl-tRNA synthetases). tRNAs cope with the degeneracy of the genetic code in two manners: having more than one tRNA (with a specific anti-codon) for a particular amino acid; and 'wobble' base-pairing, i.e. permitting non-standard base-pairing at the 3rd anti-codon position. The record is from Rfam by way of RNAcentral. Lineage: Eukaryota; Metazoa; Chordata; Mammalia; Rodentia; Sciuridae. RNAcentral also lists the same sequence under 2 other names.